UGCGGAGGGAUCAUUACCGAGUUUACAACUCCCAAACCCCUGUGAACAUACCACUUGUUGCCUCGGCGGAUCAGCCCGCUCCCGGUAAAACGGGACGGCCCGCCAGAGGACCCCUAAACUCUGUUUCUAUAUGUAACUUCUGAGUAAAACCAUAAAUAAAUCAAAACUUUCAACAACGGAUCUCUUGGUUCUGGCAUCGAUGAAGAACGCAGCAAAAUGCGAUAAGUAAUGUGAAUUGCAGAAUUCAGUGAAUCAUCGAAUCUUUGAACGCACAUUGCGCCCGCCAGUAUUCUGGCGGGCAUGCCUGUUCGAGCGUCAUUUCAACCCUCAAGCACAGCUUGGUGUUGGGACUCGCGUUAAUUCGCGUUCCUCAAAUUGAUUGGCGGUCACGUCGAGCUUCCAUAGCGUAGUAGUAAAACCCUCGUUACUGGUAAUCGUCGCGGCCACGCCGUUAAACCCCAACUUCUGAAUGUUGACCUCGGAUCAGGUAGGAAUACCCGCUGAACUUAAGCAUAUC
Molecule: ribosomal RNA, 517 nt
Filed under: Fusarium oxysporum
Lineage: Eukaryota; Fungi; Ascomycota; Sordariomycetes; Hypocreales; Nectriaceae
Description: eukaryotic LSU rRNA
Rfam family: 5.8S ribosomal RNA (bases 165-318)
Source: RNAcentral